Molecule: ribosomal RNA, 252 nt
Filed under: uncultured bacterium
Lineage: Bacteria
Description: partial 16S ribosomal RNA
Rfam family: Bacterial small subunit ribosomal RNA
Source: RNAcentral
UACGUAGGGCGCAAGCGUUGUCCGGAAUUAUUGGGCGUAAAGAGCUCGUAGGCGGCUUGUCACGUCGGGUGUGAAAGCCCGGGCUUAACCCCGGGUCUGCAUUCGAUACGGGCUAGCUAGAGUGUGGUAGGGGAGAUCGGAAUUCCUGGUGUAGCGGUGAAAUGCGCAGAUAUCAGGAGGAACACCGGUGGCGAAGGCGGAUCUCUGGGCCAUUACUGACGCUGAGGAGCGAAAGCGUGGGGAGCGAACAGG